AACGAACGCUGGCGGCAUGCCUAACACAUGCAAGUCGAACGAGACCUUCGGGUCUAGUGGCGCACGGGUGCGUAACGCGUGGGAACCUGCCCUUAGGUUCGGAAUAACUCCCCGAAAGGGGUGCUAAUACCGGAUAAUGUCUUCGGACCAAGGAUUUAUCGCCUUUGGAUGGGCCCGCGUUGGAUUAGCUAGUUGGUAGGGUAAAAGCCUACCAAGGCGACGAUCCAUAGCUGGUCUGAGAGGAUGAUCAGCCACACUGGGACUGAGACACGGCCCAGACGGCGCGGGGAUGAAGGGUGGGGGAAUACGGGAUAGGGGCCGAGAGCCUGAACUAGCAGUGGUGAUUGAGUGGGGAGGGCCGUUGGGUUGGAAUUCUUCUUGACGGGGAACGAUAAGGACAGUACGGGGAGAAGAACCCCCGGCUAGCCCCGGGGCAGCAGCCGCGGAUAUGAUGGAAGAGAACCCGUCUACC
RNAcentral lists this ribosomal RNA (472 nucleotides) under uncultured bacterium. Its description in RNAcentral is "partial 16S ribosomal RNA". It matches the Rfam family "Bacterial small subunit ribosomal RNA", at positions 35 to 539 of the family's 1533-position model. The record is from RNAcentral.